This 537-nucleotide ribosomal RNA is filed under the name uncultured bacterium. Its description in RNAcentral is "bacterial SSU rRNA". It matches the Rfam family "Bacterial small subunit ribosomal RNA", at positions 102 to 674 of the family's 1533-position model. The record is from RNAcentral.
ACGGGUGAGUAACGCGUGGGAAUCUACCGUGCCCUGCGGAAUAGCUCCGGGAAACUGGAAUUAAUACCGCAUACGCCCUACGGGGGAAAGAUUUAUCGGGGUAUGAUGAGCCCGCGUUGGAUUAGCUAGUUGGUGGGGUAAAGGCCUACCAAGGCGACGAUCCAUAGCUGGUCUGAGAGGAUGAUCAGCCACAUUGGGACUGAGACACGGCCCAAACUCCUACGGGAGGCAGCAGUGGGGAAUAUUGGACAAUGGGCGCAAGCCUGAUCCAGCCAUGCCGCGUGAGUGAUGAAGGCCUUAGGGUUGUAAAGCUCUUUCACCGGAGAAGAUAAUGACGGUAUCCGGAGAAGAAGCCCCGGCUAACUUCGUGCCAGCAGCCGCGGUAAUACGAAGGGGGCUAGCGUUGUUCGGAAUUACUGGGCGUAAAGCGCACGUAGGCGGAUAUUUAAGUCAGGGGUGAAAUCCCAGAGCUCAACUCUGGAACUGCCUUUGAUACUGGGUAUCUUGAGUAUGGAAGAGGUAAGUGGAAUUCCGAGU